GGUGACACAACACUGCUGUACCUUCUCUGUGAAUGUGUGUGUUUGUUUCCUGACUUGGAAGCAAAGAGUUUGUUACACAUUGCCCUAGGAGAUGCCUGGGGAAAGGGGCCCAUGUUCCAUAGAAUUGGCCCUGCUUCUGAAGUGUCUGAAAAUCAUUCGUUUUAAUGAAGAUUUGAGGCUUCCGUCAGCAAGAACAGAGCUCAACAUUAUCCAAAUGAGCAGUGACAUGAUGUGUCAACUACCAUUGAGAGUACAGGUAUGCCUCCUGAUAGCGUGGCAGACUAGAAACCAAGUGUACUUGGUGACCGUAAGCAUUUAAAAUUCCCGACAGUGUGUUUAAAAUAAAAUAAUGGAAUCAUUUUAUUCAUUCAAAAAUAACAUAAGUCAUUUUUCAAAAGUAAGUAGACAUAUUUACAACUUUAUUAAAUUAAUGCUUAACAUUAGAUUAAUCCAUUAUUUCAAAAUAAUAAAUAAAUAGAUAUUUAAUUACUGCUUUUCUUUGUUGCCAAGUCCUGCUUAAUUGUUUAUUAUUAUUAUUAUUAUUAUUAUUAUUAUUAUUUUUGAAUUCAUAAAUUGAUAAGUUGAUAUAACUGCAUUUAAUUAAGUGCAGCCUUGACUCCAGCUGAAUCCAGAAAAAUAUGAAAUGUUGCUGAGUUAACGACUCAAUACUCUAAACAUAACAAAUAAACAGCAUACACAAAAAUCUGGUAAAAUAGUCAUUUUUAAUAUGUGUUAAUAUGUAUUAUAUAUUAUAUAUGAUAUACUCAUCUGCCAAUUUGAUGACUUUUUACACUGAUCGUGUCACAUUGCAUUGUGGGAUUGUCUUUUCCACAAACGAUACAUACAUUGCUUUAGCAUUUGGAUAAAAUAAGGCAUCUUUGAAGGUGGCAUAAUAACUUUUAGGAAGCGUGCUUAUGAUGCAUUAAAAUGCAAUCUCGGUAGAUCACUCACUAGGCUGGAACAGAGAUUUUUUUUUUUUUUUUUUUUUUGACUCUACAGCUUAAUGUGUAGUUUAUAGAGUACCUAGAGUCACUGCUGGGUUUUCUGGGCCGCUUUAAACCUAGAAAUCAGUGGAGCCCUUGCGAUGCCUCUGAACAUGACAGUAUGAUAUAGACAUUUUUUGUGAAUCUGAAGUCUCAAUAAAGAAAAAGACCCUUCCAUUUGAAGAAAGGCAAAGGGUCAGCAGCUUUACCUGUAGUGCACAGCCUGGCAAACCAAACGUUUUGGAGGAGUUUAACCUGCCUUGAAGCUUUGUAUUGCAUAACCUUCACUUUACUUGUCUGAUAGAGGGCUUUGGACAUAUUCAGCUGUCAGAAAUCACACGCAACUGGAAAGUGUCAGCUGGAGAGGAGGGAAGAGAGAGAGGGCCCACCUGACAGAGCUGAAGCUAUUUGAAGUUUUGCCUGUGUUACUGGCAGACAGAUCAAAGUAUUGAAAGACAGGAGGACGCCUGUAGGAGAAAAAUGGAGAGAGAGACACACAAAAUGACAGAGCAAAGAGAAGGUUUAAGUCAUUCACUUGUGUGAGUUUGUUUCUUUAUUUUCUGCAGUAUGAAUAAAUAUUUUGGAGUGAGACGUGACCGUGGUGGCACACUGUUGGGUGCAAAUAAAUAUUUGGUAGUAUCAAACUUAUUUGCACUUUCUUUCUCGUUCUCUCUUUUUCUUUCUCACUCCUCUCACGUCCUUCUGACUCUUGUUUUAUUAGCAGAUAGUCAAUGAUCUGUUAUGUUGCAUUUCCCCCCUUAUUUAUUUAUUUAGUUUUGACAUUUGUAGUGGUGACACAUUAAUUAGUGUGCUGACAGCAUGCUGUGCAGUGCACAAUGAAGAAGCUGUGCUUUAAAUGUAUCCUUUUAAACAGCCUUUGUUAGAGCCAUACACAUGCAGACAGAUGAAUUUGGCCAUUGUGUUGAGACUUGAGACUUGUUUUGGUAUUGAUACUUAUUUCCAGAUUCGAUUGGUUUCACAAGCUCUUGAUUCAAUUUCAGUUUUGA
Long non-coding RNA from Cyprinus carpio carpio, 1990 nucleotides. NCBI's taxonomy places the organism in Eukaryota, Metazoa, Chordata, Actinopteri, Cypriniformes, Cyprinidae. The record is from Ensembl.